RNAcentral lists this ribosomal RNA (735 nucleotides) under uncultured eukaryote. RNAcentral's name for it is "bacterial SSU rRNA". It matches the Rfam family "Eukaryotic small subunit ribosomal RNA", at positions 669 to 1426 of the family's 1831-position model. The record is from RNAcentral.
CGUGGCUACUGUGCGGGCUGGGCACUUUGCCGUCUCUUCCCGCGGUGCUCUUCGCCGGGUGUCGCGGGUGGCCGGCACGUUUACUUUGAAAAAAUUAGAGUGCUCAAAGCAGGCCCUCGCGCCUGAAUACUGUUGCAUGGAGUAAUGAAAUAGGACCUUGGUUCUAUUUUGUUGGUCUUCGGAACUGAGGUAAUGAUUAAGAGGGACAGACGGGGGCAUUAGUAUUGCGACGCUAGAGGUGAAAUUCUUGGACCGUCGCAAGACUAACCAAAGCGAAAGCAUUUGCCAAGAAUGUUUUCAUUAAUCAAGAACGAAAGUUAGAGGUUCGAAGGCGAUCAGAUACCGCCCUAGUUCUAACCAUAAACGAUGCCAACCAGCAAUCAGUCAGAGCUCUUUUUAUGGCUCGGCUGGCGGCUUCCGGGAAACCAAAGUUUUUCGGUUCCAGGGGAAGUAUGGUUGCAAAGCUGAAACUUAAAGGAAUUGACGGAAGGGCACCACCAGGAGUGGAGCCUGCGGCUUAAUUUGACUCAACACGGGGAAACUCACCCGGCCCGGACACUGGAAGGAUUGACAGAUUGAGAGCUCUUUCUUGAUUCAGUGGGUGGUGGUGCAUGGCCGUUCUUAGUUGGUGGAGUGAUUUGUCUGGUUAAUUCCGAUAACGAACGAGACUCUAGCCUACUAAAUAGACCGGCGCGUCCUUUGGGCCGCGUCGGCGCUUCUUAGAGGGACGGGCGG